This 924-nucleotide ribosomal RNA is filed under the name uncultured rumen bacterium. RNAcentral describes it as "bacterial SSU rRNA". It matches the Rfam family "Bacterial small subunit ribosomal RNA", at positions 77 to 997 of the family's 1533-position model. The record is from RNAcentral.
CCUUCGGGAGCUGACGAGUGGCGGACGGGUGAGUAAUGCUUGGGAAUCUGGCUUAUGGAGGGGGAUAACUACUGGAAACGGUAGCUAAUACCGCGUAAUCUCUUAGGAGUAAAGGGUGGGACUUUCGGGCCACCUGGCCAUAAGAUGAGCCCAAGUGGGAUUAGGUAGUUGGUGGGGUAAAGGCCUACCAAGCCGACGAUCUCUAGCUGGUCUGAGAGGAUGGCCAGCCACACUGGAACUGAGACACGGUCCAGACUCCUACGGGAGGCAGCAGUGGGGAAUAUUGCACAAUGGGGGGAACCCUGAUGCAGCCCAUGCCGCGUGAAUGAAGAAGGCCUUCGGGUUGUAAAGUUCUUUCGGUGAUGAGGAAGGUGUUUUGUUUAAUAGACAAAGCAAUUGACGUUAGUCACAGAAGAAGCACCGGCUAACUCCGUGCCAGCAGCCGCGGUAAUACGGAGGGUGCGAGCGUUAAUCGGAAUAACUGGGCGUAAAGGGCACGCAGGCGGAUUGUUAAGUGAGAUGUGAAAGCCCCGGGCUCAACCUGGGAAUUGCAUUUCAGACUGGCAGUCUAGAGUAUUUUAGGGAGGGGUAGAAUUCCACGUGUAGCGGUGAAAUGCGUAGAGAUGUGGAGGAAUACCGAAGGCGAAGGCAGCCCCUUGGGAAUAUACUGACGCUCAUGUGCGAAAGCGUGGGGAGCAAACAGGAUUAGAUGCCCUGGUAGUCCACGCUGUAAACGAUGUUGAUUUGGGGAUUGGGCUUUAAGCUUGGUGCCCGUAGCUAACGUGAUAAAUCAACCGCCUGGGGAGUACGGCCGCAAGGUUAAAACUCAAAUGAAUUGACCGGGGGCCCGCACAACCGGUGGAGCAUGUGGUUUAAUUCGAUGCAACGCGAAGAACCUUACCUACCCUUGACAUCCAGGGAAUA